CCUUUGGAUUAAUUUACUCAUUUAAUCCUCUAAUCAACUCUUUAAGGAAAGUGCUACUGUCCCUAUUUUUUCAGAUGAGGAAACCAUGGCAGAGAGGUCAGCUACAAAUGGUUCCGAAAAAGAAAGUGCACAGGACAUAGUGGCCCUUGAAAAAUAGUCGGCGCUGUCAUUAUAGAGUAUUACCUGCAAAUGGGCGUCAAUAAUGAUAACCUUCACGAUAACACACUGGAGGCUCAGGCUAUGCAGAGGCCAUCGGAAGUCCCCACACCACAGCCCCAGCCAUGCAUCUGCUGGGCCGGAGUAAACAGGAAGCAGCAAGCUGACUACAGAACAAUGCCUUGGCCUACUCAGCUGUCUCUUUUGUGUACAGAAGUGGCUUAGGUGUCCCUGUGAUUGGGGGUGGCCAAGGAAAGUCCUUCACACCUGCAGAAGGACAUCAUAGGUCAUCAAGAACUCACAUAGUGUGCCAGGCUUGCUGCCAAGGCAUAAACACAGGCAAUAAACUCUCG
RNAcentral lists this long non-coding RNA (509 nucleotides) under Chinchilla lanigera (long-tailed chinchilla). Its description in RNAcentral is "lncRNA (ENSCLAG00000025028.1)". The record is from RNAcentral. Lineage: Eukaryota; Metazoa; Chordata; Mammalia; Rodentia; Chinchillidae.